CAGCGCUUCGGCCGGAGGGCGUUCCAAGAGCGCUGCUCGAGUUUCCCCAGCGCGGCGGUUCCUCGUGCCGCCGCCGUCGCAGCCGCGCUUGCCGGGGCGAGGAGACGCGCCGACCGCGACCGAAACCGGAGACGCGAGGCAAGGGCGCGCUGCUGCUGCGCCGUGCCGCCGCCGAUGAUGAUAAGGGCGCCCGUCGUCGCCUCGGCGGCCGGCCGCAUAAGCGACCGCCUGCGCUCCGGAAAACGCCAGUCGGGCUUUCGUCUCCCUCCCAGCCAGCCCCUCUGCGAGAGAUGACGGCCGCUCACUCCACUGCACGCGCGCACACCGAGAAGACAGCUUGCCCCUCGCGCGCGACGAUCGAGACCGCUGGCAAGGGGCGUCGAUGAGCGACGCUCGCUGCAACGGGACGAAGCACGACGUGGAACCUCCAGUGGCUGUGCCGUCGUCGUCGUCCCGUUGAAUCGGUGUGCACGCCGGCGGAUGCGCCACGACAAGAUGUAAAACGCUCCGGACGUGAGGUGGUGAGGUGACAUCGUCGUACGGCCGAGGCUGCGGGCAGACUUUCGCGGUUAGUCUAGAUGUGCGGUAGAGUGAUGUCUGAACUCGCGGUAUCGACCCACGAGGCCUUCUAGUUUAGUGGAGCUUCGGGAAGAGCUUUCCGUCCAUUUGCUUCGUGGAGAGGAACUAAGUUGUAUCUCUAGCAGCUUAUCCCGCGGGAACCAGUUUCUUUUACACAUCUUAAGUCAUUCGCUGUCGUCAUCGAACUUACUACACUCUUCUUCUUCAUUUAUUUCUUCUUUUGUUACGUUUUGCGCAGAAGGAGUAAAGGAAGGAAGUUUUCAUCCCGCCAACUGCCGAAAAUCUUGCAGCAGUGUAGUCAUUAAUUGAUGGUGAAGCAUAGUCGGAAGCCUAAGAAGGUGUCCGCUGCAACAAAGAACAUUAGCUCCGUAAGCUCUGAGAAGUAGCUCAGUGUGCUACUGCCGCGCUUCGCAUUGGUUGUCGGCUCGGCACCGUAGGGCGAACGGCCGAAGUGUCGACGCACGCUCCCAUUUUGCUGUCGUCAGACGUACAGUCACUUGAGAAGCACCGUCCGUCCGCAGCUGCUGAAUCGGCCAAAUUUGGAGAGCAUACGGAUGAUAACUGCAGAGGCCACUGACACCUGUGACUCGCACUAAAGACGUUCGUGAUCAAUGUACAGGAGAACGCUACACCUCGGACCAGCGCUGCCUUUCCACUCAGUUCGCCGAAGUUGGCCGACGAUUUCCGCUGUACGGAAGAUGAGCGAGGGGGCGCUACACGCAUGGCUGAAGUGGCGAUGAAUCACCAGGCCAAGUGGCGGCGACGAUGGGCGUGAUCGACAGCGGGGACGAAGGCGUCGUUCGCUCGGAGGGGCUCCCUCACUCAGUUUGGCUGUGGUGUAACGGGCGCCUGACCCAUCACAACCUCCUUGAGUGAGUGAGGCCUGCCCGAGGAUUGCAACGGGAGACAUCUGACCCCGACCCGGCAGGCGGACUUUGGAAAGACUCACCGCGCAGCACCCAUCUCAGCUUGGACUUUAAACACGCUGGAUGCAAGCCUUUCUCUCAGAUAUAGCAUAGCUUGUUUGCUUGUGCGUGGUAAGUCGUGCAAUAGAGUAAUGAGUUCAGCUUGUCCCGUUUCUAGACCAUCGAAGUUAUUUGCCCAUGCUAUAAUUAAGGUGAGCUGACGUCACCUACUCAUCCGGUAUGCAUUAAAAAGAGAAGUGCAACUGCACAAUUUGUCAUCAAGGAAAGAUCUAGAGAGGGAGAUGAAGAGGAAAGGCAGGGAGGUUAACCAGAUAUUAGCCUCCGGUUUGCUACCCUACACUGGGGUUAGGAGACAGGUGUUAGCAAGAGGACAGAGAUGAAAGGGCCGGCAGAUCGCAAGAAGCGCAGUAUAAAGUGCUUGCACGGCCUUCUGUGACGUUAGGUCCUGUCGAUGCUGUAGAAGUGCCUCUUCCGAUAGUGUUAUUGUGUGACACCAUUAUGAAGGGCUCUGGGUUAACUUUCACCACCCGAGCUUCUUUGAGCAUGGUGCACGGGUCCUUUUACGUGCCGUUUCCAUCAAAGUGCGGCUGCAAAUCGAACCCACGACCGCGCGCUCAGCAGCACAACGCUCCGAGCCACUGCUUCGGGUGGCUGUGCCACCAUUUAAUGCCUCUGAAAAAAAUUGUCUUGCCACUUAGUGGACACAAGCUAAAGCCGCCAGCGUUUUCGUUGCUCGAUUUACGACGCACAGGGCGAAGGUCCUCGUUUUCUUUCGCGUGUUGAAAAUAAAAAAAAAAUAUUUGA
Long non-coding RNA from Dermacentor albipictus, 2309 nucleotides. RefSeq lists it as uncharacterized. The record is from RefSeq and is a predicted model, not a curated record. Lineage: Eukaryota; Metazoa; Arthropoda; Arachnida; Ixodida; Ixodidae.